Molecule: non-coding RNA, 30 nt
Filed under: Rattus norvegicus (Norway rat)
Lineage: Eukaryota; Metazoa; Chordata; Mammalia; Rodentia; Muridae
Source: RNAcentral
UGCAAGUUAGCUGGGAUUAUAUUCCAGGUA